CCCGUUACACCAAGUACCAAGUACCAAGUUUACCUUAACGAAUUGUGCAGUUUGACUAUUCCACAAUGUCGUAUCUUUGCUUACGCUGAUGAUACGGCAUUAAUCGUCUCUGGGAGUCGCUGGGCCGACACGGUUGCUUCUGCAGAAUCUGCAUUCAGCUUUGGAAUACCUUAUAUGUCAAGUUUAUAUCGGACAAUAUUACUUGUUACAUGUAUAACGCAUCGAUAAUGCAUGUGUAAUGUUUUUAUCAAGCUUACACAUGCCCUUGGAUUCUCAUUGGAGUAAACAGAGACUAUCGAUCGCCAUUGACGAACAAGUCGUGGACCUGGAUAUAAGCGACCCGCC
This is a long non-coding RNA of Hyposmocoma kahamanoa, 345 nucleotides long. RefSeq lists it as uncharacterized. The transcript has 4 exons. The record is from RefSeq and is a predicted model, not a curated record. Lineage: Eukaryota; Metazoa; Arthropoda; Insecta; Lepidoptera; Cosmopterigidae.